RNAcentral lists this long non-coding RNA (206 nucleotides) under Capsella rubella. RNAcentral's name for it is "long non-coding RNA (CRUB_LNC003684)". Lineage: Eukaryota; Viridiplantae; Streptophyta; Magnoliopsida; Brassicales; Brassicaceae. The record is from RNAcentral.
UGGGAACGAGAUAUUGUGGAACCAUGCAUUUCAUUCCAAGAUUAUAAAAUGUUGCAUGGCAUUGGCUUAUUUAUAUACCCAAUGAACGACUUGCAACAUACAAUUUGAUCACCGGCGCCAUGUAGGCAUUAUAUAUCAAACAUGGUAGUUGGUUUGAAGAAUUCGAAAGAAAUACGCGUCUUCUAGCAUUCUAUAGGAAAAAAAAA